RNAcentral lists this unclassified non-coding RNA (208 nucleotides) under uncultured Sporidiobolales. Its description in RNAcentral is "sequence contains ITS2". The record is from RNAcentral. Lineage: Eukaryota; Fungi; Basidiomycota; Microbotryomycetes; Sporidiobolales.
ACUCUUCAACCCACUGGUUUCUUGUAGACUAGCUGGUGUUUGGAUUUUGAACGUUGCUGGUCUUCGGACGUAGCUCGUUCGUAGUGCAUUAGCAUCUCUAAUUCGAAUUCGGAUUGACUCAGUGUAAUAGACCAUACGCUGAGGACAUUUUUAUUAGUGGCCGAACAAGAUAAUUGUAGAAGCUUCAAACCUCUAUGGCCAAUUUUAG